GUGGUUGAGCCAGUAAUUGACUAGUUGGUUUUGGAGUUCUGAGUUGUCCCUCGCUUUUUCCACAGCCUCUUUCAUGUCUUUGUUGAAUCUCAUGAAUUUAACUGCCAAGGCGUUUAGAUUGUUAAUCUGCUGCUCCAAAAGGCCUUCCGCGUCUGUGUCUUUUUUGCGAGCUUCGUCGACUAGAUACUGGAUGAUCACCGCGUUGAGGGCUGCGCCUCUGACAGCCUUCUUCAUGAGGAAUUCGAUGUCGUCUGUCUCUUCUUUCUUCAGAACUCUAUCGCCUUCAUCGACGGAAGCUGAAGUCUGGGCCGAGUUUCCCAUUGGUGCUGUGAUUUUGUGCUCAGUUGUGGCUUCAGCGUCGCUGGAGAGAUUUUGCUCCUCCAACACUGGUGUUGCAGAAACCUUCGAUCUCUCUACCGCAUCUUCUUUGCCUCGUGGCCGUCUCUGCGCAAACCUGGUUUUCGUUCGAGCACCCGGAUGAUGCACUUUGUUGUCGGGAGUGCCUUGUGUGGCCUUAGGUUGUUGUUUGCGGAAUGAAAUGAGUUUGUUAUCAGAGUAACGUCUUUUGCGGACCAAAGGGUUGACGUCAGAAACUUUGACGUCAUGGGACAAAGCUGCAAGCUUCACCCGAUCCCCAUCUUCGGGACGAACAUUAUGCCCUUUGUCAAACCUUGAUUUGCUUGUAUGCCCGCGCUUUCUCUCCUUUUUGUGUGUGACUUCUUUCUCAUCUGGGCUAUCAGUCAAUUUAUUUGUUCGUGAGAAUACCUUUUUCCCCGGUACUUUUCCUGCCUGUGGUGCAUGCCCUCGCAGCCGGGGUUGCUGUGCUUUGCCUGUCUGCAGUGUGGUCUUUUUCCUGUCGAGGAGAUCUUCAUCCUGCGAGAGACUAAGAUCUUGAUAGUCUGGAGCCUCGUCUGAUGCGCGUUUUGUUAGUUCCGUAUUUUCCACAGUCAUGUCAUGUACAUCGGGGAGUCGAUUCGUGGACGUGUUUUCAGCAGGGAGGCUUUCUAAAAUUGAUGUCGGCGUUUCAUGUACGACGGAUAACUCCUCUCCUUUCUCCGCCAAAGAGGCCUUUGACGAGGCUGCCGUUUCUUCCGGCACAACGAGGCUGAGCGGUGCAGCAGCAUGGACGGCGUCUGUAAACAGCAACAGGCUGAAAUGGAGAAAAUGCAUGUAGCCGUGCAAAAGGCACAUGAUAUCCAUUAGAGGGAACAUGAGUCACUCCGAGGAUAUCCGUAAUUCCUGCUCAUAGCUCCAUUGCUUCUGCUGGUGCACUCCUCGACUGUCGAGCUCAUGUGAACGUUCAUCAUAGGACAGCAAGAAUAACCACCAGUAACUGAGGAAAAACUUCAGGAUGGCAGGCUUAAACAGAGCGAAAGUCUUACCCUGUGCCUUGAGACACAGUGUUGCCCACAGUAGGGCAAAGGAGAAGCGUACUGACAGCAUUUCCGGACCGGGUUCCCUUGAGGUGGAAACAAGUGACUUCACCGAGUGAAGUGCCUGCUACGGAGAAACUGGAAAACGCCAAAUCAGAACCUGUUUUUUUACGUCGGGAUUCAGAUACCUGAAACUUCUGAUUCUAAAAUCACGGAGCCCUCUAGAUCAGAUACAUCGGAGAAAGGGAAACAAACGUGACACUUUUUGAAAACCAGAAGGAACCUUUAAAAACGGAUGUGUGCAGCAGGGCUGGACAAAGGAACGGCGUGAGAAGUACUGUCAGUGUGGCUUUUGUCAGUGCGUUGCUGGGUCGCAGCACCGCCCAAAAGGUUGGCACUUGUUUUCUCCCCACAUCU
RNAcentral lists this long non-coding RNA (1790 nucleotides) under Toxoplasma gondii VEG. The record is from RNAcentral. Lineage: Eukaryota; Apicomplexa; Conoidasida; Eucoccidiorida; Sarcocystidae.